AACGGCCGUACCAUGCUGAAUAUACCGGUUCUCGUUAGAUCACCGAAGUUAAGCAUCAUUGGGCGCGGUCAGUACUUGGGUGGGUGACCACCCGGGAACACUGCGUGCCGUU
Non-coding RNA from Caerostris darwini, 112 nucleotides. NCBI's taxonomy places the organism in Eukaryota, Metazoa, Arthropoda, Arachnida, Araneae, Araneidae. The record is from the annotation of a GenBank genome assembly.